UGUGAAUAGUUCUGGGUGGGCUUCGAUCCCACAACUCCUAAUACGCUAGACUGGACGCGUUAAUCAACUACUCUAUUUAAAAUUAAUUCAAUAGCCUAGUUCGUGACGUGGCAAAAUACAUUUAAUUCUAUAUUUAGGGUUCAUUUUAUGAGAUCUAACCGGGUUCAAAAUCCGGCACUGAUUUGAAGGUUCAAGGCUGAUAUCUACUCACGCUCGAGUGACCUACCAUAAAUGUUGGUAUUUCUUAUCGAGGCAUAAUAAUUCGCAUGUAUAAUUCGCAAGAGAUAAUAGCACAGCAGUAGCCUGAUGAAGUAAUUCCACUCAGUUUGUAUUGAACCGGUCGUACAGGAUGAGCCAAAGACAUGAAGGGAUUGUAUGUGACGUUUGCAACACUGGGAACUUUACCAGCAGUCGAUAUGCUUGUCUGGUAUGCGAGGACUAUGAUUUAUGUGAAAAGUGCUUCGACCGACGAUAUUCCAACUUGCAUCACAAGCCAUACCAUCCAAUGCAGAAGAUUCUAUGGGAAGUAGAUUUUUUCAAAAAACUUGAUGAAAGUGAAUCGGGUGAAGUGUACACAUUUUGCUGCCCUUAUUGCGGUGAAAACGAAUUUACCGCCAGUGGCCUAAUAGCGCAUUGUGGCAUUUAUCAUCGCAUUGGCGGGCACCGAGUGCGAUGUCCAAUAUGUAUCCUUUACCAGAGGAAUCACGCACCACUGCUGAUCGUUACCUUACACCAGCAUGCACUCAAAAUGCAUAAUGAAUACUGCACUCUAACAAACGUGACUACUAAAACUCAAGCUACACAGGAGUGUACCAUUUGCAUAGAAAAAAUACAGCCAAAUUGUGAUAUACAAUUUUUACCUUGUUCACAUACGUUUCAUUCAGAAUGUAUAAAAGCAUGGCUGCGAAAUAGUGCUACCUGUCCAGUAUGCAGAGUUGAGAUAGAUAAUAAAACUUGAGUCGAAUGAUUACA
Molecule: long non-coding RNA, 972 nt
Organism: Aedes aegypti (yellow fever mosquito)
Lineage: Eukaryota; Metazoa; Arthropoda; Insecta; Diptera; Culicidae
Exons: 2
Source: RefSeq, a predicted model, not a curated record